Molecule: long non-coding RNA, 1347 nt
Filed under: Marmota monax (woodchuck)
Lineage: Eukaryota; Metazoa; Chordata; Mammalia; Rodentia; Sciuridae
Source: RNAcentral
UUUUUGAGAGAGAGGAGAGAGAGAGAGAGAGAAUUUUUUAAUAUUUAUUUCUUUUUUUUUUUUAGUUAUUGGCGGACACAACAUCUUUGUUUGUAUGUGGUGCUGAGGAUCGAACCCGGGCAGCACGCAUGCCAGGCGAGCGCGCUACCGCUUGAGCCACAUCCCCAGCCCCUUAAAUGUGUAUUUCUUUAACUACAUAGAAAACGUUAUUUUCCCAUAUUUAUUGGCCUUUUCUAUUUAUUCUUUUGAAACUUGCUUAUUCAUAUUGUUAUUCUCUGGGAGAACUGGCCCCUUUUUUGGCUUACAAGUUCUUUAUGAAUUAAGGAUGUCCAUCCUUUGUCAUAUAAUUAUUCUUAGUGCACCAUUUGCCUUUUCAUACAACUAAUGUAUUACUUGUUUUCUUUAGGAGUUUAUCUUUGCAUGUGUGCUUGAAUAUACUUUUCUUAACCCAUGUAUAUUAACCCCUAUUUUCUCAGUAUUUUGAAAUUUUUAUAGUUAUUUUUUAGCUUAAAAAGAAUUUUAUCUUGUUUAUAUAACCUGAACUCAUUUUCUGCAUAACUUUGGGGUGAAAAGGAAAUUUUUAAUCUAUCUCAAGUUUAUUUAGGGAUAUGUAUGAGAUAGAGAUUCCAUUGUUAAUUCUUGUGAAGAGUUUACUGAUUGGACAGAUUGGUUCAGUAUCAUCAGCCACCAUUUUCCUUCUGAUUUGUAAUGAUAUUUUUAUAGAAUAUUAAAUACUUGUAUGUCUUUUAUACAUUGGGCUUGUUGCUGGGCCUUCUGAUAUUUUUUUUCCAUGCAAUCAUUAUGGCUUUCAUUGGUGUUAAUAUUCUGUAGAAUAAGUUCUCCCUUUUUUGAAAUUUGUGAAAUACAGCUACAGAAAAGUAUAUAAAAUGUGUGCAGUUUACUGGAUAAAGCAACAGCUGUGUAAUCACAAAGCUGAUGCGGAGGAACUGCUGCCAGCCCUCCAGAUAACUCGCUGUGUGUUCCCUCUUAGUACCUCCUCUGUCCCUCAGAGGUCAUACCAUCCUGAUUGUGGUAACCCCCAGCCCCCGCAUCUUUUUAAAAGGUAUUUUACCAGUUAUGUGUUUAACAAUAAUUAGUCUGUCUUGCUCACUGUUGACUUGUGUAAAGAUGGAAUCAUAUCUUGGAUCUGGUGUCUUUCACUAAAAAUUCUUAGAAAAUUCAUGUCACAUGUAGGGGUGUGUGUGUGUGUGUUUCCAUUGCUGUGUAAUAUGUGCUAUUUCAUUAAUAUCACUAUUUCUUUAUUCUGCUCUGAUGGACACUUCGGUGAUAUUUCCAGGAUUUGACCAUAAUAAACAUGCUGCGAUGAGCAUCUUUGUGCCCAUAAAC